Molecule: small RNA, 180 nt
Filed under: Arabidopsis thaliana (thale cress)
Lineage: Eukaryota; Viridiplantae; Streptophyta; Magnoliopsida; Brassicales; Brassicaceae
Description: ATSL208030
Source: RNAcentral
UUCAAAAGUGUUUUUAAAAGCUUUUAAAAGACUAAACCAUGAUUUACAAUAGUUUUUAAAGCAUCACUAAGUGAUUUACAAGGGAUUUUAAAACGGGUUACAUGGUUUAUAAUCGGUUUUAAAAGAUUAGAAAGUGGUAAAGAAUGAUUUACAAGGGAUUUUAAAAAGGAUUUACAUGCU